Molecule: small nucleolar RNA, 214 nt
Organism: Sorex fumeus (smoky shrew)
Lineage: Eukaryota; Metazoa; Chordata; Mammalia; Eulipotyphla; Soricidae
Product: small nucleolar RNA U3
Exons: 1
Source: RefSeq, a predicted model, not a curated record
AUAACAAUACUUUCAGGAAUCAUUUCUAUAGUUCGUAACUAGUGAAGUUUCUCUGAUAGUGUAGAAUACCAGAAACCAUGAGAACAAGCCAGAGAAUCCUCUCCUGAGCAUGAAGUUGGUUCUAGGCACUGCUUUUGCAACUGCCUCUUACCUUUGGUGAUCCCCCUUCUCUUCCCUUGGAAGAGGGAGAGGGAGAGGUUGCAGUCUGAGUGGU